UACGUAGGGGGCAAGCGUUGUCCGGAAUCAUUGGGCGUAAAGAGCGUGUAGGCGGCCCGAUAAGUCCGCUGUGAAAGUCCAGGGCUCAACCCUGGAAUGCCGGUGGAUACUGUCGGGCUCGAAUCCGGAAGAGGUGAGUGGAAUUCCGGGUGUAGCGGUGAAAUGCGUAGAUAUCCGGAGGAACACCGGUGGCGAAGGCGGCUUCCUGGACCGACACUGACGCUGAGGCGCGAAAGCUAGGGGAGCAAACGGG
This 253-nucleotide ribosomal RNA is filed under the name uncultured bacterium. Its description in RNAcentral is "partial 16S ribosomal RNA". It matches the Rfam family "Bacterial small subunit ribosomal RNA", at positions 524 to 776 of the family's 1533-position model. The record is from RNAcentral.